UGUCCUCCACAGGAGGUCUAUAUUGAGCAGAUUCUUUUUGGUAUUGGGUGGUGGAACCGGAGCGUGCUCCAUCCACUCCAUGCAUUGACCUGGUAUAACAGUGCUUCCAGGACCGGUGC
RNAcentral lists this small nuclear RNA (119 nucleotides) under Crocodylus porosus (Australian saltwater crocodile). Its description in RNAcentral is "U2 spliceosomal RNA (ENSCPRG00005011283.1)". It matches the Rfam family "U2 spliceosomal RNA", at positions 67 to 185 of the family's 192-position model. From Rfam's summary of the family: U2 is a small nuclear RNA (snRNA) component of the spliceosome (involved in pre-mRNA splicing). Complementary binding between U2 snRNA (in an area lying towards the 5' end but 3' to hairpin I) and the branchpoint sequence (BPS) of the intron results the bulging out of an unpaired adenosine, on the BPS, which initiates a nucleophilic attack at the intronic 5' splice site, thus starting the first of two transesterification reactions that mediate splicing. The record is from RNAcentral. Lineage: Eukaryota; Metazoa; Chordata; Crocodylia; Crocodylidae.